This 4861-nucleotide long non-coding RNA is filed under the name Nicotiana benthamiana. Its description in RNAcentral is "long non-coding RNA (NBEN_LNC011905)". The record is from RNAcentral. Lineage: Eukaryota; Viridiplantae; Streptophyta; Magnoliopsida; Solanales; Solanaceae.
AUGGCGUCAAUACGUGAGGGGCAGUUCUGACCCUUUAACUGAAAGCAAAUGAAUUCCUUAAAGCUAUACUGGGCUUUCGAGUGUUGGGCUCAAGGUCGAACUUCCUACUGAGCCGAAGUGAAUGACCCCCUUGGCGUUUCAAAGGGUCUCCAGUAGCAGACCCAAAUUCGAACCUCAACACUGGGAAAAAAUUCUCAUUAUGCAAAUCGACCACUUAACACAAUUACAUAGAAAUCAAACUUUUCAACUAAACUACUAUUUCUAGCAAAACUAAAGGAAUAAUUGUAUGAUGAUAAUCCAUCAUUUAAAGGAAAAUAUAACCAAAGGACCAACGAAAUGUGAACAACCAACAUGAUUUAAACAAAGUAGAAAACACCCUAUAGCCUAUUCCAACAAGGAUAUAGAAAAAGUCCCACGUACAUCCAUACUUGAAACAACUGAACAAUGACAAAUACCCCAUUCCCUAUAUUGAUGCUUAAUAAAUCCAGUGGAACUCACAAAAAAAAACAUAGCCCCAAACUUAGAAUCUAAAUCAUAAUCAAUGAUUUGAAUUAAACUACACUAUAACACUUUGAAAGAUAUUCAAGCAUGAAUAUGAAUACUCUAAUCUAUUAACAUAUAGAUAUACCCAAAACAAUCAAUCUAUUUACAUCAUUACAACAGAGUGAGUAGCUAUACCACUAGAAAACUGUACACAUAUUCGAACAUAAAUGAACUCAAGCAAUCUUCAUUAGAUAAGCAUCAAAUUUUGCAUCUCUCCCGUCAGAAAUGGUACCUGAUUACAGCAAGAAUAACAGAGAAAAUAAGCUUGAAGUUACGAUGAAGGCAACAACAAUAGACCAGCAGCAAAGGAAAUCAACCAACAGCUUCUAAUUCAAACCAUGUUUCAGCUUUUACAGACCAAAAACAAACCCAGGAAUUCCUGAACAUAAACUUUUAAACCAAAAGUCUAAUGAAAGAAAGAAAAUGAGCAAAGUUCAGGACUCUCUAAACUGGAUUGCAAAGAAGUUUUUCAGGUUUUUUAUGGUGUGUAUCGUGUGUGCUAAGUAAGGAAAGACCUUAUUUAUAAGCCAUGGGUAUGCUGUGUGCCUUUCUAGGCAAGGCAAUGGUAUUUUCCUAAAAUACCCUCAUAGGGCAUCUUUUAAAAUUGAUUUUUGUACAACUGUCCUUUUCUUUCAAAUAUAUUCAUUUUUCAGCCUAUUUUCCCUAACAAUUUUGGGUAACUGUCCAUUUAGGAAGCUUCCCAAUUAGUUACUAAAUAUUCCCCUGGUUAAACAAUCCCCAAACUACCCGUAAAACUCCUAAUUAUUCAAUUAACACCCUGAAACUUCUGAAUAAUCAUAAACAACAAACAAACAAGCUAAUAUCGUCAAAUGGAUUGAAAACAAAGGAAAUUCAAAGCUGAAGAAUAUAUCUAACAACUAUUGAAUGAACCUAAGCGACUAAACGGUGUCAACUCAUAAUAAAUUGUUCUGAUACAAGGAAAUCCCUAAUGAAACUCUCACAACUGCUUGGAAUAAUUAAUGCAAUCUAAAACAAAAUUAGUAACUGAACAUGUCCAAAUAACUCACAACAAAGUAACUGAACCCUAAAUUAUUCUACUAUAAUCAGAAAAUACCAUUGGAAUAAGAAUUAAUUCGAAGGUUGAAUUGAACUGCUUUAUGCGAUGAAACUCCCAUCCGAAAAUGACACAUAGAACAUAUAAUUCAAAUAUUGAAAUAAGCUGUCUAAAUAUGCAAACAAACAAAUGACGCAACUAACAAGAUUUGAGAGAAGAAAGGAUAAGAAACAACAACAGAAAAGAAAAUACAGAUGAAUAAAUGGCUGAGAUUCAGGAAAUACCAACUUAAUCAGCCGGAUGAACAAAUGAUAUAGAAGUAGAAAUUUGGCCAAGUUCAAGUUUUCGACGAGGCUUGAAACUGACACAAACGAUUAUUCUAAUCAAGAAUAACCUGUUUGGACGAGCUUUCAACCUGGAUGAACAAAAUUGCAAAGAAAAUCUCAAAACAAGAAUUAGGUCAAAAUUGACCUUCCAAAUUCGACAAGUUUGAGGGGCCGUUUGGGAAAACCGGUGAAAUGUUUAAGAAGAGGAGAGUACAUGGGCGGCAUGGUAUCAAUCUAGGGAGGUUUGGAGCAACUAAGGUUUUGGGAUUCAGUUCUUAGAUCUAAGAUUAAGAAGAUUGAGAAAGAUUCGAGGGGAACUGUAUUGAGAUUUAGAAAGAGGAUGCUGUUUGCCCAAUUUUGAUUUCAUUGGAGAAUGCCGCAUGUUUUAUGGGCGAGUCCCAGUUCGCUCAAUUUCACUUUCACUGGAGAAAGCUGCGUGUUUUAUGGGCGAGUCCCAGUUUGCUCAAUCUUUCUUUUUAUGGAGAUUGUUUCUUGAUCGUUGAUCUGUACUAAGCCAUUUCUGUUAUUUGUGAUACGUAGCGGCUUAGAGAGUUUUGCUCGGUCAUUACUUGCGAUAUGGCACGCUACGGGACCAUUUUCUAGAGUGUUUGGGCGGCGUUUGUCCGUUGCUCGCGUACCUAUGCGAGUGCUCACUUUCCAGUUUUGAACCAACAAAAGAGUGAAGAUAAACCAAUGAAAUUAUCAGUUAUCUAGGCCUAGCAAGACGGUGAAAAGAGGAGCGGCGUUGUAGGGUUACUCGUUCUGCCUAGUACUCGAAAAUCGGUUUCUGAUUUGGCAGCCACAUUUAGCUUCAUCAUUUAACUGCGCCUACACUUCUUGUGAGUUAGGCUUACCUCACCCUUUGGGACAGCGAGGCCGAGUCCGAGACCGAUAUGUUUACACAAUAAGGGAAACAUGUCAUGCUUUGUUUAUAAAUCAUCCAUCAUGCGUGAUACGAAAAUAAUGUGGGAUAUGCUUGAUUUUCCAAAGGGUCAUGCAGUAGGUUAUCAUCCCUUCCCCAAGGAUGGAAGUACGAGUGAAUAUACCGGGUGAAUACAUUGUAUGGGAUCGCAGUCAUGCCAAGCACACAGUGGUCGUGGUUCUACUUAAACCGUUCAUAUGACUCAUUAAACCUAUCGUUACGGGUGGGGCAUGGGUCUCGUAUAGACAUCGGUAAUAUUUUUUUAUUUUGUGUAGGAAUUUGACCUGGAUUGAUACGUUUAUUUCAAAAAUUUAUUUAGCAUUCUUUUCAAGUUGGCAUUGUUACUGAGAUGGUAAGGUUGUAAGAACCCUGAAGUAAUACUUGACUAUUCUAGAUCUAACGGAAACUAAAGAAUUUUGCUGAGAAAUCCCCAUAGACGACGCCAAAUUAUUUGACCAAAAAGUGUUAAGCUUUUUUAUUAAACCAAUUAAUGAUUAAAUAGAUGAUAAAUCUUAGCUAAACAUAAUCGACUUUAGAUCUAGAUAUCAUGGGUAUUAAAAUAAGAGAGAUCGAGUUUGCAACAUUUCCUAGGAUGAUUGAAAGAUAUUAGAUGUAAAUAACAAGUGCCCUCUUAUGACUCUGCUCUUUCUCACUCGUCCAAGUACAACGUUCAACUGUAAGUCUUCUGAUGGACUGAUCUCGACAGUAACCGAAAUAAUCAUCGCCAUUAUGCCUCGUGGUCACGAUCAUAGCUUGGUUGACCUCUUAUCGUUCCUUUUAAUAAUAAUCAUAUGAUGAUCAAAUUUCGACUCAUACAAUUAUGGGUUGUAAAUUUUUCAUUAAAUGUAUUACUAUCUAAUUUUACAAGUCCAUCUAUAAACGAGUUUAGUUAUAGUGAUUAGUGAACAGUUUUAGUGAACAACUGCGCUGAUUCUGCAUCGUUUUCAAUUGGACAAAAGAAAAUGGUUAUUUCAACUUUACGUCUUUUACUUAAAGUGCGUAUCUAUUUGAAUCAUGGCAGACGAUGAGUAAUAUUCCCCUACAUAAAUAAUACAAUGGGUUACAAAUUCGACUUUGCUCAAAAUAAUACCCCUUUUAGAAGACGUAGUUGAGAUUAAAUGUCUGCCAACCCUUUCCAUGUCAAGUGAGGUAUCCGCCUCUAUUGUACACAAAAAUUGGGAACAAAAUUAAACACAGUCCAAAACGAAAGAACAUAUAUGGUACUACUCAGUGGUGGACUGUUUCGAACCUCAAGCGCGUCAAACCAAACAUAUUUUCAGCACCAUUGUUUGUUACACACGAAUGAUACUUAUAAGAGCCAUCUCAUUUUUCUUUUUUCUUUUUUUAAACAACGUGGAAGUAGAACAACUGUAAAAGAUUCAAACUCAUUUUAGCUAAUAUCCUGGUGCCACUUUUAUUAAGGCAAAUUUGAAAUUGAACACUACUAAUUUUGGCAGAAAAGAAACAAAACACUACAAAUAUAGACACUCCAUAAAAUAGCUGCAUUCGAGCAAAUACAGGAGAUCUAUUAACCAUAGGCAGUUCGAAAUAAAGCAAAAAAAAAUAUGUUUAAAUCUGGAAAUCCAUUCAUAGUGUCACACGAAAUCCAGAAAAAUGAUCGGACAAGUAGUUCAAAGCUUCAUGUACACAACGAAUGGAGAAAACCAAUAUUUAGUCACAUACCUGAUUUUAGCCAAUCUACACCCAAAAAAGGAAUAAAUCUCUGAAGUUGGGAAGGAGAUAAAAGCAAAAGAACAGCAUAACAACAACAGCAAAAACCAGGAGAAUCGACACCGUGUUCCAAAGAAAUUUAAGCCAAACCUUCAAACUCCAGUUUCCUUUCGAUUUUGUUUGAAAUCAUUUCUUUCAAAAUUUUCAAAUUCUAGCAUCCUGGUGUCUUUUUUUUUGUAUUUUUUUGUGUGUGUGUGAGCAUAGGUAUAGAGUCGAGAGACUAGAAUAUGAGAGAGGAGGUCUUCCUUUUUUCCUUGAAGGUCUGUUCUUGGUGAGGAACGAAGAAGCAGGAAGGAAAGAGGGGGGAGGAAGAGGGGGGAGGNN